GCCUAUGGCCACGCCACCCUGAAGGUGCCUGAUUUCGUCUCAUCUCGGAAGUAAUCCAUGGCCGGACCUGGUUAGUACCUGUAUGGGAGUCUGCCUGGGAAUACCAGGUGUCGUAGGCU
This 119-nucleotide ribosomal RNA is filed under the name Xenopus laevis (African clawed frog). Lineage: Eukaryota; Metazoa; Chordata; Amphibia; Anura; Pipidae. The record is from RNAcentral.